UGUUAUGCUAUCUUUCACAGCCAGCCCGAUAUUAUUCAGACUGAGGCAGCUGCUUCUGGAGGACAUUAAGCUCCUGUCAGGCAGAGGACUCCACAGGACUAGGGAAGCUAUAAAGAAGGCUCCACUCUGAGUCUCCAUCAGAUGAAUCUGCAGCAAAUCUAAGAUGGAGUGGAUACCACAAUUCUCAAAGAUUGUUGAAAUCCUAAGCAACCCCCAAGCACCCUGGAGAAAAAUCAAAAUUGAUACCCCAGCUUCAGCUGAAUUUCAGACCCAACCAAGUGUUGCCUUCAGUUUUUCAAUUGUUUCUGUAACAGCACUGGAAAUGAAUCUGGAAGCUUCUGGAAAUGAAAUGCAAUCAUAGGAGAAAUCUUAGGACAUGUAUUAAGACAAGCAAAUGGACCAUUUCAGUGAUUAGCUGAGAUUGUAGAAAACUCAUUAAACCCUAGAAAUGGUAUUAAUUAAGGUUCUAGCCCUAUGAAUAAUUGCAACAUCUCUGCCAUCCUUGUAGCCAUCAAUGGUAGUGACCUCAUUGUAACAAUGUUCAAAACUGCAGAAUAUUUCAUUUGGGGAAAUGGAGACCAUAUGGAAAAAAAUAAAUCCCAGUCAAAAAACUUGAA
Molecule: long non-coding RNA, 617 nt
Organism: Candoia aspera
Lineage: Eukaryota; Metazoa; Chordata; Lepidosauria; Squamata; Candoiidae
Exons: 2
Source: RefSeq, a predicted model, not a curated record